CCUACGGGAGGCAGCAGUGGGGAAUAUUGCACAAUGGGGGAAACCCUGAUGCAGCGACGCCGCGUGAGUGAAGAAGUAUCUCGGUAUUUUAAGCUCUAUCAGCAGGGAAGAAAAUGACGGUACCUGAUGAAGAAGCCACGGCUAACUACGGACCAGCAGCCGCGGGACUACGUCGGGGGCAAGCGUUAUCCGGAUUUACGGGGGGUAAAGGGAGCGUAGACGGAAGCGAAAGCCGGAAGUGAAAGUCCGGGGCUUAAUCCCGGAACUGCUGUGGAAACUGUGCAGCUAGAGUGCAGGAGAGGUACGUGGAAUUCGUAGUGUAGCGGUGAAAUGCGUAGAUAUUAGGAGGAACACCAGUGGCGAAGGCGGCUUACUGGCCUGUAACUGACGUUGAGGCUCGAAAGCGUGGGGAGCGAACAGGAUUAGAUACCCCUGUAGUC
Molecule: ribosomal RNA, 440 nt
Filed under: uncultured bacterium
Lineage: Bacteria
Description: partial 16S ribosomal RNA
Rfam family: Bacterial small subunit ribosomal RNA
Source: RNAcentral